RNAcentral lists this transfer RNA (85 nucleotides) under Felis catus (domestic cat). It matches the Rfam family "tRNA". Rfam says of the family: Transfer RNA (tRNA) molecules are approximately 80 nucleotides in length. The record is from Rfam by way of RNAcentral. Lineage: Eukaryota; Metazoa; Chordata; Mammalia; Carnivora; Felidae.
GCCUGGGUGGCUCAGUCGGUUGAGCAUCUGACUUCGGCUCAGCUCGGGACCUCACGGUUCACGGGUUCGAGCCCCGUGUUGGGCU